AUGGAUUCAGUGCCACUCACUGCUGAAGCUAUUGCUUUUACUGAGAAAAAGAUGGACAUGACUCUGGAGGAUAUUAUUAAGAUGUCAAAGAAAAAAGGUCCUGCAGGCAAGAAAGCCCCUAGACAGCAGGUAAAAAAGCGUCCUUUCCAGAAUGGUAAUAGUAAUCAAGGGAAGGCAAAGGUUCAGCGAUUUCAUGAGUCUAGAUCAUCUAUACGACAAGGUGUUCUGGCACAAAGGAGGUCAAAUCUUGAUGCAAAUCAGUUCCAAAUCACAAAGCAGGCUGCAAACAAGGCUGCUACUAUGCAUGUGCGCGGUAGGGCUGACAGAUGGAACAAACCAAGUGGUCCGUCUACCUCAGCACAGAGGAGGCCCGUAAGCGAGGCUCUUCAGAACAGCAAGGGUAAGGAGAUGCAGAAUGAGCCUCCAAGGACAAUGGAUGCGCUCUUUGCACAGAUGAAGCAGCAGCGGAUGAGGGUCAUGCCACCGCAGCAAUCAAAAGCUCCGACCCAUGUCCAUCAGUUUAACCAGCAGCGGCGUGGUCAGCAGCAGCGGCGAGGCAGAGGGGGAUAUGGUGUCCGCAGCGGUGGUGGUAACCGAUGA
RNAcentral lists this ribosomal RNA (600 nucleotides) under Triticum aestivum (bread wheat). RNAcentral's name for it is "partial small subunit ribosomal RNA". Lineage: Eukaryota; Viridiplantae; Streptophyta; Magnoliopsida; Poales; Poaceae. The record is from RNAcentral.